RNAcentral lists this ribosomal RNA (253 nucleotides) under uncultured bacterium. RNAcentral's name for it is "partial 16S ribosomal RNA". It matches the Rfam family "Bacterial small subunit ribosomal RNA", at positions 524 to 776 of the family's 1533-position model. The record is from RNAcentral.
GACGAAGGUGGCAAGCGUUAUUCGGAUUUACUGGGCAUAAAGCGCGCGUAGGCGGCUUGGCAAGUCGGGGGUGAAAGCCCGCAGCUCAACUGCGGAACUGCCUUCGAUACUGCCGGGCUUGAGGGCGGGAGGGGUGAUUGGAACUCCAGGUGUAGCGGUGAAAUGCGUAGAUAUCGGGAGGAACACCAGUGGCGAAGGCGGCGAUCUGGGUCGAUACUGACGCUGAGGUGCGAAAGCGUGGGGAGCAAACAGG